GAUGAACGCUGGCGGCGUGCCUAAUACAUGCAAGUCGAGCGAACAGACGAGGAGCUUGCUCCUCUGACGUUAGCGGCGGACGGGUGAGUAACACGUGGAUAACCUACCUAUAAGACUGGGAUAACUUCGGGAAACCGGAGCUAAUACCGGAUAAUAUAUUGAACCGCAUGGUUCAAUAGUGAAAGACGGUUUUGCUGUCACUUAUAGAUGGAUCCGCGCCGCAUUAGCUAGUUGGUAAGGUAACGGCUUACCAAGGCAACGAUGCGUAGCCGACCUGAGAGCGUGAUCGGCCACACUGGAACUGAGACACGGUCCAGACUCCUACGGGAGGCAGCAGUAGGGAAUCUCCCGCAAUGGGCGAAAGCCUGACGGAGCAACGCCGCGUGAGUGAUGAAGGUCUUCGGAUCGUAAAACUCUGUUAUUAGGGAAGAACAAAUGUGUAAGUAACUAUGCACGUCUUGACGGUACCUAAUCAGAAAGCCACGGCUAACUACGUG
RNAcentral lists this ribosomal RNA (497 nucleotides) under uncultured bacterium. RNAcentral's name for it is "partial 16S ribosomal RNA". It matches the Rfam family "Bacterial small subunit ribosomal RNA", at positions 28 to 507 of the family's 1533-position model. The record is from RNAcentral.